This is a long non-coding RNA of Herpailurus yagouaroundi (jaguarundi), 2746 nucleotides long. RefSeq lists it as uncharacterized. The transcript is spliced from 5 exons. The record is from RefSeq and is a predicted model, not a curated record. Lineage: Eukaryota; Metazoa; Chordata; Mammalia; Carnivora; Felidae.
GCACCCAGAGCGGCUCGAGCAUUUCUUUACCCGUUAGCUGUUACUGACCCAUCGUGGAGUCUCUGAAGUUUUGACCUGGUGUGAAAUCCUCGAACUGACAGGGCCUCUGAAGCACAGCUCGUUUCUGCCCUUAUCACGAAACACUUCUGCCUUCAAACUGUGUUGGCAGAUGGACAAAGGGUUUUAUGAUUCCGCCACACUCUCUCAGCUUGGUUACUGGUAUGGUGCUCUGGUUAGAAGUGCCCACCGGUUGCUCACCAACUACAUGCUGAAUCUGGAUAUUCCUGAAGGGAGGUCUGAGUGUGCCGGGCAAGUAUAUCAUUCAUUCUUUUCCUAAGUGGACAUUUAUUGAGUGCCUGCCGUGUGUAGUCACAGGAUAUGCAGGAGAUACAAAGCGAAAGAAAAAAUUCCAGCCCUGGAGAAGUUCAUGGGUUUGUUUCUUUAGCGGUAGUGGAAGGAUUCAAAAUGUCAUUUGCUCUCCAGCUCAGGGGUCCCUCUUGGACCUUUCCUUGUGGACCGAGGAUCUUUAUGUCCUGCUGGGGCCAGAGGAUGUGAAGGCAGCUGCCUAGGCUAGAGAUGCUGGUGAUGAUCUAGAAACCUGAGUGGGGCCCAGAGAAGAGACCCAGCAAGAGGUGGCACGGAGGGACAGGCAGAGGCAGUCUCGGGGACUUGAGAUUUCAUCCUCAAGGUAGUAGGAAGUCUUCGGAGACUCUUAACCAGUGGCAUGUGAUGAUCAGGAUGGACAACCGUGGCCUGUAGUUCCCGGACAGCCUAAUGUGGGAGCAAUGCGCGACAGAGCUCAGUUUGAAUCCCGGCUGUCAAUGACUUAGAGCUAUGGCCCUGUGCCAUUCCCGCAGCCCACCGUGUCCAGCUACAGACCACCCUCCUCACGCAUCAACACAAGGUCAAUGGUAGCCUAAGGCGGCAUCACAACGGUUAUGUCAUUCCCGUGCCUUCAUCUCGUCACGUGCGCGUUUUAUCAUCUCCCGUCACCACAAGAAGCAUACGUACGGUCACAUAGGUAUGUCCGUCUAGGAAACAACGCGGUGUAUGUAGGGGUCGGCACUAUCCGUGGUUUCAGGUGGCAUUGGGGGUCUUGCAGCGCGGGCCCCACUCAUAAGCGAGGGGCUACUGUAGCGACGUGAGGAAUCACAAGCAAGCACCAAGUGGAGUCACAGGGCCUGGAUUUGAGUCUCAGCUCCAUUGCUGACUGGCUGUGUGAUCCCAGGUAACUCAUACAACCUCUCGAGCCUCGGUUUUCCUCAUCCAUAAAAUGGGAACGCUACUGAUAAUAGGCGCUUCAGGAGACUGUGGUGAACUAAGGUACGUGAGCUUGUUUUUUUAAGCUAGAAAGCCUCACCAGUGGUUGCCUGGGAUCAUUUUUGCCCCCCAGACUGAAACAUCCUGGUUCUAAAACCAAGGUAACAUUAAGAGAGCCUCUGACUCUGACUCCGGCCUCACUUGCUUGGCUGGAGUUCAGCUCACUUAAAUUCCUCCCCAGCGGUUCUGAAAUCGCUGGGCCAGGGGUACCGGCAGAGAGUCUGUUUUGCUCUGAGCAAGGAACGCCAAGCCUUUUCUGGGGACAUGGCCCUUUAUGCACAGGCUCUCCCAUGUUCACCCUCUUGACCCCACUACCUUUUCUACACCUGGUGGGACUAGGGGUGGACUGUGCUCCCAGGGUAUCUGACGGGCCAACAGCUCCCCAAGCCUCCCCAGGCAUCCGCGUGCCGGAGACCCUGCCCCUCUCCUGUGCCGAAGUUUGGACUCCGGGGCACAAGAUGGGAGAGGGAGGCUUGGGAGCAGAGUGAGGGUAGCUGAUGGCCCACCUCACCCCUGCCGGGGGCAGAGGUGCCCGGUGCCUGGGAGAAGCUGUUCCGCCUCCUGCUGUUCUCCAGCUGUGUUCAGUUCCCCCUCUUUCCGGCCUUCCCUGUAAACUCCCACCGGUUAGGGCAACCCGAAGUAUUGCUGUGUCUCUCAGCUUAGAGGAGCCUGAUUGCCUUGGGAGGAUCUCAAGGUCCCUCCAGAGGGAGUGGAGUUUGCUCAGAGUAACGUGCAUCAGCUACUCUAUUUGGAAGAUGGAAACACCCGUUAAGUCUACUGACCAGGGACUGGUAAACAGGACCUUGGCAUCCACACCACAGUGAGAUCCUACAGCUGGAAAAUAGCACCAGGAGGCCCGUUAGGUACCGAUGCGGGGUGCUUGCUCCACAGGACAUUUUCCUCUGCAAAAAAGUGUGAGGUUCAGAACAGUGUGUGUAAUCUGCUGUCACUUGUGCAGCAGAUCAAAGACUAAAAUAUCUCUGGAAUAUCACACAUAAUCUAACGGCACUAGCUGUCCGUGAGGAAUGGAGCCGGGUGGCGGUGGUGAGGGAAGGAAUUUUCACUGAACAUCCUGCAGUGACUUUUCUAAAUCGAGAACACUGAAAUGUAAUCACCUGCUUAAACAGUGAAAUCAGAAAAAAAAAAGCUUAGAACCGUGGCUUGUGAGGUUGAGCAGUCCUGAGUUCAACUUUGGCUCCACGAUAUAUUGCCGUGCAUUAGCGAACGAGUGGCUCAACCUGUCUGAACUCGGCUUUCUUAUCUGUAAAAUAAUAACAGUAAUGCCUGCCUGAUAGGACUGUCAUAAUGCUCUACCCUUGUUGGCCCAUAGUAGCCAUUCACCUUUGAUUGGCUAUUGUUGUCAUUGCCAAUUUCCUCACAAGGCACUUAACAUUUCCCCUUGGCUUGUCCCCUGCUCCUUAAGAUA